RNAcentral lists this ribosomal RNA (253 nucleotides) under uncultured bacterium. RNAcentral's name for it is "partial 16S ribosomal RNA". It matches the Rfam family "Bacterial small subunit ribosomal RNA", at positions 524 to 776 of the family's 1533-position model. The record is from RNAcentral.
UACGAGGGGGGCAAGCGUUGUUCGGAAUUAUUGGGCGUAAAGGGUGCGUAGGCGGUUUGGUAAGUCUUAUGUGAAAUCUACAGGCUCAACUUGUAGUCUGCAUGAGAAACUGCCGGGCUUGAGUAUGGGAGAGGUGAGUGGAAUUCCUGGUGUAGCGGUGAAAUGCGUAGAUAUCAGGAGGAACACCUGUGGCGAAAGCGGCUCACUGGACCAUAACUGACGCUGAUGCACGAAAGUCAGGGGAGCAAACGGG